RNAcentral lists this ribosomal RNA (252 nucleotides) under uncultured bacterium. RNAcentral's name for it is "partial 16S ribosomal RNA". It matches the Rfam family "Bacterial small subunit ribosomal RNA", at positions 57 to 305 of the family's 1533-position model. The record is from RNAcentral.
GCAAGUCGAGCGGUAACAGGAAGUAUCUUGCUACUUCGCUGACGAUCGGCGUACGGGUGAGUAAUGCCUAGGAAAUUGCCCUGAUGUGGGGGAUAACCAUUGGAAACGAUGGCUAAUACCGCAUAAUGCCUUCGGGCCAAAGAGGGGGACCUUCGGGCCUCUCGCGUCAGGAUAUGCCUAGGUGGGAUUAGCUAGUUGGUGAGGUAAUGGCUCACCAAGGCGACGAUCCCUAGCUGGUCUGAGAGGAUGAUC